This 440-nucleotide ribosomal RNA is filed under the name uncultured bacterium. RNAcentral describes it as "partial 16S ribosomal RNA". It matches the Rfam family "Bacterial small subunit ribosomal RNA", at positions 339 to 795 of the family's 1533-position model. The record is from RNAcentral.
CUACGGGCCGCUCCAGUCAGGAAUCUUGCGCAAUGGGGGAAACCCUGACGCAGCGACGCCGCGUGGAGGAUGAAGGCCUUCGGGUUGUAAACUCCUUUUCUUAAGGACGAUAAUGACUUAACUUAAGGAAUAAGCACCUGCUAACUACGUGCCAGCAGCCGCGGUAAUACGUAGGGUGCAAGCGUUAUCCGGAAUCAUUGGGCGUAAAGAGUAGCGUAGGCGGUUUGUUAAGUUAUUAGUGAAAUCCUCCGGCUUAACUGGAGACCCGCUAAUAAUACUGGCAAACUAGAAUCAUGGAGGGGAAAGCGGAACUCUUGGUGUAGGGGUGAAAUCCGUUGAUAUCAAGAGGAACACCAAAGGCGUAGGCAGCUUUCUGGUCAUGUUUUGACGCUGAGGCACGAAAGCGUGGGUAGCGAAACGGAUUAGAUACCCUCGUAGUC